Long non-coding RNA from Sinocyclocheilus anshuiensis, 515 nucleotides. RefSeq lists it as uncharacterized. The transcript has 3 exons. Lineage: Eukaryota; Metazoa; Chordata; Actinopteri; Cypriniformes; Cyprinidae. The record is from RefSeq and is a predicted model, not a curated record.
CCAUGCGCCUCGGCGGACUGUUGCGAAUUGAGCUGAGCUCGUGCGCCGGCUGCUGAAAUGCAGUCUCUCAUCUCACCAGUGACUAAGGCUAUCCUUGUAGCUCUGUUUAUUUUUGCCAUUUUGCUCAUCCUCUAUGUGAUACUGUGGUAUAUAUGCAGAGACGUGGACUGUGAUCACGGCAUUUGAUUUUGGAGACCGAAGCUGCGGAUCCGCGGAGAAGUCAGGGUGACCCCGUUUUGCCCAAACAGAAUGGCGAGAUUGCUAUAGUGACGGGCGGCGCCAAAGGACUCGGCUAUGAGACGGUCAGACAGCUGACGAAUCUGGGAGUUUAUGUCAUAAUAGCCUCACGUAAUCAAGCGGAGGGUGUGGCUGCUGUGAAGAAGAUUUGUGAGGAGAACAGUGAAGCUCAGGGUGAGUCAGGCUUUAUAACACACAUAUAACGCACAUAUAACACACAUAUAACACACAUAUAACGCACAUAUAACGCACAUAUAACACACAUAUAACACACAUAU